AAAAAUUUGCCACUGUAUGGACGUAAGCCCUGCGCAUGAGCGUACAUGAUCAUUUUAAACAAAAAAAUUAGCAAAAUUCAGAGAAAUGAAAGCAGAAUCCUGUUUGAAGGAAAACAUCGCAUUCGAUACAGAAAUCGAUUUUCGUAUCGGAUGCUAGGUUUUUUCCAAACAGGAUUCUGCUUUCAUUUCCCUGAAUUCCCCCCAUUUUUUGGUUUUAAAUGAUCAUGUAGGCUUAUGGGCAGGGGCUAUUGUCCUCUAUUUGGUUAAACAUUCAAAAUCUGCCGAUAUUCUUGACGUAAUGGAUGCGAUACAUCGCAUGUCAGAGAGCUUGACCUUAAAUGGAAUUCUAAGCACUUUUUAUACUCAUACUUCUUUUUUGUCUUUUUAAUUUUUAUUUUUUUUUUUUCAAAUUGAACAACAUACUCAAGUGCAAAAACAAGUCAAUGAGGUAGUGAGCAGGUGACAAGAAAGUAUCUAGUGUAAUAGUGUAAGGGGAGCAAGGAGUCCAUUAUAUUGACCUAGUUUCUCUUUUCUAUGUUCGCAACAGGUGUCUAUGAUCACGCCUGGGAGAAUUCUUGCCGCCUAAACUCCAAUCGCAACACCAAAAGUGCAUCGGACAGUGAGAAAAAGGGCAUCGGAUGCAGAAAGCGAAAACUUCGAGUUUUGUUUUCGCCAACACCUUCAGAGAAUAAGGUCAAGAGUUCUGCUGCUCCAGACCAAAUGGUCUUCCCUGCCCCUCCAAAGAUAACGAAUAACAAAAAUCAAAAAUCGACUUUUGAAAGUAAACUAGUCUUCCCUGCCCCUCCGAUUUCAACGAACAACAAAAAUAUUAAAUCAAAAAUUGAAAGUGAAGCAGAUGAAUCAGAUUCUAUACACUCUCCGAGUCUUCUGGGUCUGUCUUAUUUUGAUGAAAGAAAUCGCAGCAAGCGCAAUGCAGAUGUCAAGCGCAAUUCAGAUGUCAAUUUUGAUGAGGACAAUAACGUUGUCAACAGUGAUAUCAACAAUGAUAUCAACAGUGAUAUCAACAAUGAUAUCAACAGUGAUAUCAACAUGAUAUCAACAGUGAUAUCAACAAUGAUAUCAACAGUGAUAUCAACAGUGAUUCCACCGGUCACACUUUGGCUUCCAUUGGCCAAGCCAUUGCCGUUUGUCAAGCAAACUUUCUAA
This 1167-nucleotide long non-coding RNA is filed under the name Bemisia tabaci. RNAcentral describes it as "lncRNA ENSSSA3NGG004986". The record is from RNAcentral. Lineage: Eukaryota; Metazoa; Arthropoda; Insecta; Hemiptera; Aleyrodidae.